RNAcentral lists this small RNA (1339 nucleotides) under Pongo abelii (Sumatran orangutan). Its description in RNAcentral is "retained intron". Lineage: Eukaryota; Metazoa; Chordata; Mammalia; Primates; Hominidae. The record is from RNAcentral.
AGGUCACGGCGCGCUCACAAUGGAGCUCUCGGAGUCUGUGCAGAAAGGCUUCCAGAUGCUGGCGGAUCCCGGCUCCUUCGACUCCAACGCCUUCACGCUUCUCCUCCGGGCGGCAUUCCAGAGUCUGCUGGACGCCCAGGCGGACGAGGCCGUGUUAGAUCAUCCAGACUUGAAACAUAUCGACCCAGUGGUUUUAAAACAUUGUCAUGCAGCAGCUGCAACUUACAUACUAGAGGCAGGAAAGCACCGAGCUGACAAGUCAACUCUAAGCACUUAUCUAGAAGACUGUAAAUUUGACAGAGAGCGAAUAGAACUGUUUUGCACGGAAUAUCAGAAUAAUAAGAAUUCCCUAGAAAUCCUACUGGGAAGGUAGGUACUGUAUAAGGUGUCAAGCUGAGGCACUUUUCACUUGCAGGUAUGAAUGGAGAGUGUUGGUGUGAAACAAGAUCUUCGGGAUCUUGACCCAAAGAAAAGGAGCCAAAGGGCAUGUCAAACAAUUGAAGUUAAGCUAAUGUUUUUAAAGAUAGUUUAUUGAGAUGAUUUUGAAAUGCUCCUUUACCAUUCAGAAUUUAAAAAUAAAGUUUAACAAUGGUUUAAAUUCAGAAUGGAUUAAAAUGGAGUUGGGGGUGGAAAGUAGAGCCAUUCUUAGUAAAUAAUAAAUAACUGAAAAGUUCUUUUGAGAAGACUAUGUACAAAGUUAUCAUUGCAUCUUUCAGUAUAGGCAGAUCGCUCCCUCAUAUAACGGAUGUUUCUUGGCGCUUGGAAUAUCAGAUAAAGGUAUAGUUUAAGAAACUUCUCUAGGGGGGAUUUAGGGAACUUCUUAAAACCUAGAGUUAAAAGCUGUUACGUGUUUGUUGUGUUAUUUUAGACCAAUCAACUUCAUAGGAUGUACAGACCUGCAUAUUUGGUGACCUUAAGUGUACAGGUAUUUAUAGAUAAGUCUUAUCCAGUAAUGAAAUUUAUAAUUUUAUUGAUUUAAAUAAACAGCGUUUUUUGUUGCGUGUUUUUUUUCCUGCCCUAGAACACUGAUUCCCCAUCCUAUCCAGAGAUUAGUUUUAGUUGCAGCAUGGAACAAUUACAGGUACAGUAUUAGGAUCUAUAAAUAUGCCUGUCUUUUUAUAAAUGUUUACUUGAGAGUUAUACUCUUGGAAAGUUCAAAAGAAAAUUAACCAUUUGUCAGCAGAUAAUGAAGAUUGGUUAAGGAUUUAAUGUGAAAGGGGCAUCAAAAGUAGUAUUUUAAGAUAGGCUUCACUUGAAAUUAAGAUGUUAUUAAUAGAGAAUUGGUCUGUAUUUGCUGUUCUUGCUGAUUAAAAUAAACUUCUGUAGUGUUUAGUGUAAA